RNAcentral lists this ribosomal RNA (480 nucleotides) under uncultured bacterium. RNAcentral's name for it is "partial 16S ribosomal RNA". It matches the Rfam family "Bacterial small subunit ribosomal RNA", at positions 29 to 523 of the family's 1533-position model. The record is from RNAcentral.
AACGAACGCUGGCGGCGUGCUUAAUACAUGCAAGUCGAACGUGAAAGUCCUUCGGGAUGAGUAAAGUGGCGCACGGGUGAGUAAUACAUAGGAACGUACCUUUAGGUGGGGGAUAACUACGGGAAACCGUGGCUAAUACCGCAUAAUCUCGAGAGAGCAAACGAUGGCCUCUAUUUAUAAGCUAUCGCCUUUAGAGCGGCCUAUGCCCCAUUAGCUUGUUGGUAGGGUAAUGGCCUACCAAGGCAACGAUGGGUAGCUGGUCUGAGAGGACGGCCAGCCACACUGGAACUGAGACACGGUCCAGACUCCUACGGGAGGCAGCAGUAGGGAAUAUUGCACAAUGGGCGCAAGCCUGAUGCAGCGACGCCGCGUGAGUGAAGAAGGUCUUCGGAUUGUAAACCUCUUUCAGUAGGGACGAAGCGAAAGUGACGGUACCUAAAGAAGAAGCACCGGCUAACUACGUGCCAGCCGCCGCGGUAA